UGAUGCCGUAAUUGCUACAUUAUAAAGAAAUGUAAAGAAAUCUUAACAGUUAACGAAAGGAACGUUAAAGAGUUAUAUUUCUAAUUUGAGUACGGAAAAAGUUUCUCUAUAAGAAUUAGGGGAAUUAGGGGCACAAAAGUUGUAAUACAAAGUAUAGAAUACCUUUUUUGAAGAGUCACCUAACUUAUAAUCCUGUUCAAUAUAUCAAACAGAAAGCAGAUAUGGGUUCUCUAGUCCUUGGGCUUUAUCUAGGAAAUUAGAGAUUAUUACAAAGAAGAAAUAAUCUACUUAGCAAUAAUUGUUAUCUUGUGCACCUGUAAAGUUUUAGUUGUGAUAGUGCAUUGUAGCUGUAAACAUUCUCAGACUAUUCCCAGAGAAUCACAUUAUCUAGUUACCCAAGCAGCUGUGCUGGAGAGGCAGUGGUUGAAAUAUUUUGAAUAAAGGCAUUAAAGGUCUAUCAUUUUAACACAAUUUAAUUUGCAAGUAUGAACUCUGAAGUUCAAUUACCUGGGGUGAAGUAAUAACAAACAUCAUGUAAUAGUCAAAGCCGGAAAAUAGAGGAAAACGGUUAUUAUCUUAAUUGAUUAUUUCAAACUGGUCUACAUCUUGGUUGGACAAGAACUACUACCAGAUAUUACGCUAAGAGGGAAGAUAAAGUGAAGAUAGUUUAAGGGUUUAUGGUCGUAAUAAUAAAAAGUUAAUUUGGCUGAUCUAGCUUGAGGAUUUACGGGAAGAGGAAGAGUAGCUGGUUUCUAAAAAAUGAUAUUAAAUUAUAUUAUGCUUAAAUUUUUGUGAUGUUUAAUCUUACUUCAGGGCGUAUAGUAAUCAAAUAAAUUACCGGUGGUUGAACUUGAGGUUGAGUUGGAUCUUGACGUCUAACUCUAGCACCUGACGCUGGUACUGGAAC
This is a non-coding RNA of Onthophagus taurus, 907 nucleotides long. The record is from RefSeq and is a predicted model, not a curated record. Lineage: Eukaryota; Metazoa; Arthropoda; Insecta; Coleoptera; Scarabaeidae.